RNAcentral lists this ribosomal RNA (497 nucleotides) under uncultured bacterium. RNAcentral's name for it is "partial 16S ribosomal RNA". It matches the Rfam family "Bacterial small subunit ribosomal RNA", at positions 899 to 1397 of the family's 1533-position model. The record is from RNAcentral.
ACUCAAAUGAAUUGACGGGGGCCCGCACAAGCGGCGGAGCAUGUUGCUUAAUUCGACGCAACGCGAAGAACCUUACCAAGGUUUGACAUGGCCGGAAAAGCCUCAGAGAUGGGGUGUCCGCAAGGGCCGGUCACAGGUGGUGCAUGGCUGUCGUCAGCUCGUGUCGUGAGAUGUUGGGUUAAGUCCCGCAACGAGCGCAACCCUCGUCCUAUGUUGCCAGCGGGUAAUGCCGGGGACUCAUAGGAGACUGCCGGGGUCAACUCGGAGGAAGGUGGGGAUGACGUCAAGUCAUCAUGCCCCUUAUGUCUUGGGCUGCAAACAUGCUACAAUGGCCGGUACAAAGGGCUGCGAAACCGCAAGGUAGAGCGAAUCCCAAAAAGCCGGUCUCAGUUCGGAUUGGGGUCUGCAACUCGACCCCAUGAAGUCGGAGUCGCUAGUAAUCGCAGAUCAGCAACGCUGCGGUGAAUACGUUCCCGGGCCUUGUACACACCGCCCGU